Molecule: unclassified non-coding RNA, 520 nt
Filed under: uncultured Glomus
Lineage: Eukaryota; Fungi; Glomeromycota; Glomeromycetes; Glomerales; Glomeraceae
Description: SSU rRNA
Rfam family: Eukaryotic small subunit ribosomal RNA
Source: RNAcentral
AGCAGCCGCGGUAAUUCCAGCUCCAAUAGCGUAUAUUAAAGUUGCUGCAGUUAAAAGCUCGUAGUUGAAUUUCGGGACUAAUAUGUCGGUCGUGCCUCGGUACGUACUGGUUUAUUGGUUUCUCCUUUCUGAAGAACCAUGAUGUCAUUUAUUUGGUGUCGUGGGGAAUCAGGACUGUUACUUUGAAAAAUUAGAGUGUUUAAAGCAGGCUCACGCUUGGAUACAUUAGCAUGGAAUAAUGAAAUAGGACGUUUGAUUCUAUUUUGUUGGUUUCUAGGAUCGACGUAAUGAUUAAUAGGGAUAGUUGGGGGCAUUAGUAUUCAAUUGUCAGAGGUGAAAUUCUUGGAUUUAUUGAAGACUAACUACUGCGAAAGCAUUUGCCAAGGAUGUUUUCAUUAAUCAAGAACGAAAGUUAGGGAUCGAAGACGAUCAGAUACCGUCGUAGUCUUAACCAUAAACUAUGCCGACUAGGGAUCGGAUGAUGUUAAUUUUUAAUGUACUCAUUCGGCGCCUUACGGGA